GCAAGUCGAACGAAGUAGCAAUACUUAGUGGCAGACGGGUGAGUAACAUGUAGGUAUCUACCCUGUGGCCUGGAAUAACACGAGGAAACUUGUGCUAAUACCGGAUAAGUCUUUACGGAGAAAGCUUUAUGCACCAUUGGAUGAGCCUGCACUUGAUUAGCUUGCUGGUAGGGUAAUGGCCUACCAAGACUUUGAUCAAUAGCUGAUUUGAGAGGAUGAUCAGCCACAUUGGGACUGAGACACGGCCCAAACUCCUACGGGAGGCAGCAGUGGGGAAUCUUGCACAAUGGAGGAAACUCUGAUGCAGCGAUGCCGCGUGAGUGAAGAAGGCCCUUGGGUUGUAAAGCUCUUUCGUCGGGGAAGAAAAUGACUGUACCCGAAUAAGAAGGUCCGGCUAACUUCGUGCCAGCAGCCGCGGUAAUACGAAGGGACCUAGCGUAGUUCGGAAUUACUGGGCUUAAAGAGUUCGUAGGUGGUUGAAAAAGUUGGUGGUGAAAUCCCAGAGCUUAACUCUGGAACUGCCAUCAAAACUUUUCAGCUAGAGUUUGAUAGAGGAAAGCAGAAUUUCUAGUGUAGAGGUGAAAUUCGUAGAUAUUAGAAAGAAUACCAAUUGCGAAGGCAGCUUUCUGGAUCAAUACUGACACUGAAGAACGAAAGCAUGGGUAGCGAAG
This 671-nucleotide ribosomal RNA is filed under the name uncultured marine bacterium. RNAcentral's name for it is "bacterial SSU rRNA". It matches the Rfam family "Bacterial small subunit ribosomal RNA", at positions 57 to 773 of the family's 1533-position model. The record is from RNAcentral.